AGCUUUGCGCAGUGGCAGUAUCAUGGCCGAUGAGGUUUAUCCGAGGCGUGAUUGUUGCUGAUUGAGAACUUUUCCUAAUACCCCUCCAUGACGACUUGCAAUAUAGUCAGGAUUGGCAAUUUUUGAUUGUCUCUAUGAGG
This is a small nuclear RNA of Lemur catta (Ring-tailed lemur), 140 nucleotides long. RefSeq annotates it as U4 spliceosomal RNA. NCBI's taxonomy places the organism in Eukaryota, Metazoa, Chordata, Mammalia, Primates, Lemuridae. The record is from RefSeq and is a predicted model, not a curated record. The transcript has a single exon.